GAUGAACGCUAGCGGCAGGCUUAAUACAUGCAAGUCGUGGGGCAGCAUGAGUAGCAAUACUUGAUGGCGACCGGCAAACGGGUGAGGAACACGUACACAACCUUCCUUCAAGCGGGGAAUAGCCCAGAGAAAUUUGGAUUAAUACCCCAUAAUAUAUUUGAUAAGGCAUCUUAUUAAUAUUAAAGCUUCGGCACUUGAUGAUGGGUGUGCGGCUGAUUAGAUAGUUGGCGGGUACCGGCCACCAAGUCUACGAUCAGUAGCUGAUGUGAGAGCAUGAUCAGCCACACGGGCACUGAGACACGGGCCCGACUCCUACGGGAGGCAGCAGUAAGGAAUAUUGGACAAUGGACGAAAGUCUGAUCCAGCCAUGCCGCGUGAAGGAUUAAGGUCCUCUGGAUUGUAAACUUCUUUAUAUGGGACGAAAAAGGGCAUUCUUGUUCACUUGACGGUACCAUAUGAAUAAGCACCGGCUAACUCCGUGCCAGCAG
This 488-nucleotide ribosomal RNA is filed under the name uncultured bacterium. Its description in RNAcentral is "bacterial SSU rRNA". It matches the Rfam family "Bacterial small subunit ribosomal RNA", at positions 28 to 514 of the family's 1533-position model. The record is from RNAcentral.